CUACGGGGGGCAGCAGUGAGGAAUAUUGCACAAUGGGGGGAACCCUGAUGCAGCAACGCCGCGUGGAGGAUGACGCAUUUCGGUGUGUAAACUCCUUUUAUAUGUCAAGAAAAUGACGGUAGCAUAUGAAUAAGCACCGGCUAACUCCGUGCCAGCAGCCGUGGUAAUAAGGAGGGUGCAAGCGUUACUCGGAAUCACUGGGCGUAAAGGACGCGUAGGCGGGUUGGAAAGUCAGGUGUGAAAUCCUACAGCUUAACUGUAGAACUGCACUUGAAACUUCUAAUCUAGAGUAUGGGAGGGGGAGAUGGAAUUAGUGGUGUAGGGGUAAAAUCCGUAGAUAUCACUAGGAAUACCUAAAGCGAAGGCGAUCUCCUGGAACAUUACUGACGCUAAGGCGUGAAAGCGUGGGGAGCAAACAGGAUUAGAUACCCCCGUAGUC
This 439-nucleotide ribosomal RNA is filed under the name uncultured bacterium. Its description in RNAcentral is "partial 16S ribosomal RNA". It matches the Rfam family "Bacterial small subunit ribosomal RNA", at positions 339 to 795 of the family's 1533-position model. The record is from RNAcentral.